UACGUAGGUGGCAAGCGUUGUCCGGAUUUAUUGGGUUUAAAGGGUGCGUAGGCGGCUUUGUAAGUCAGUGGUGAAAUACGGUAGCUUAACUAUCGAGGUGCCAUUGAUACUGCAGAGCUUGAGUACAGAUGAGGUAGGCGGAAUUGACGGUGUAGCGGUGAAAUGCUUAGAUAUCGUCAAGAACACCUAUAGCGAAGGCAGCUUACUAGGCUGUAACUGACGCUGAGGCACGAAAGCGUGGGGAGCGAACAGG
Molecule: ribosomal RNA, 253 nt
Filed under: uncultured bacterium
Lineage: Bacteria
Description: partial 16S ribosomal RNA
Rfam family: Bacterial small subunit ribosomal RNA
Source: RNAcentral